CAAACGGUUCUUUUAGGAACCACCACAUAUGACAAGAGUCAUGUCC
This is a non-coding RNA of Nematostella vectensis (starlet sea anemone), 46 nucleotides long. The record is from Rfam. NCBI's taxonomy places the organism in Eukaryota, Metazoa, Cnidaria, Anthozoa, Actiniaria, Edwardsiidae.